This 86-nucleotide transfer RNA is filed under the name Clostridium sp. RNAcentral describes it as "tRNA-Leu". It matches the Rfam family "tRNA". Rfam says of the family: Transfer RNA (tRNA) molecules are approximately 80 nucleotides in length. Their secondary structure includes four short double-helical elements and three loops (D, anti-codon, and T loops). Further hydrogen bonds mediate the characteristic L-shaped molecular structure. tRNAs have two regions of fundamental functional importance: the anti-codon, which is responsible for specific mRNA codon recognition, and the 3' end, to which the tRNAs corresponding amino acid is attached (by aminoacyl-tRNA synthetases). tRNAs cope with the degeneracy of the genetic code in two manners: having more than one tRNA (with a specific anti-codon) for a particular amino acid; and 'wobble' base-pairing, i.e. permitting non-standard base-pairing at the 3rd anti-codon position. The record is from RNAcentral. RNAcentral also lists the same sequence under 2 other names. Lineage: Bacteria; Bacillati; Bacillota; Clostridia; Eubacteriales; Clostridiaceae.
GCCGGCAUGGCGGAACUGGCAGACGCACGGGACUUAAAAUCCCGCGAGGGUAAAACUUCGUACCGGUUCGAUUCCGGUUGCCGGCA